GCCAGUGUGAUGUAGUGGUUUGGGUGUUGGACUAUGACUCUAGAGACUAGGGUUCAAAUCCCUGCUCAGCUA
This is a non-coding RNA of Phrynosoma platyrhinos (Desert horned lizard), 72 nucleotides long. The record is from the annotation of a GenBank genome assembly. NCBI's taxonomy places the organism in Eukaryota, Metazoa, Chordata, Lepidosauria, Squamata, Phrynosomatidae.